RNAcentral lists this ribosomal RNA (1550 nucleotides) under Salmonella enterica subsp. enterica serovar Typhi. Its description in RNAcentral is "partial 23S ribosomal RNA". It matches the Rfam family "Bacterial large subunit ribosomal RNA", at positions 1367 to 2895 of the family's 2925-position model. The record is from RNAcentral. Lineage: Bacteria; Pseudomonadati; Pseudomonadota; Gammaproteobacteria; Enterobacterales; Enterobacteriaceae.
AAUCGGGGCAGGGUGAGUCGACCCCUAAGGCGAGGCCGAAAGGCGUAGUCGAUGGGAAACGGGUUAAUAUUCCCGUACUUGGUGUUACUGCGAAGGGGGGACGGAGAAGGCUAUGUUGGCCGGGCGACGGUUGUCCCGGUUUAAGCGUGUAGGUAUGUGUUCCAGGUAAAUCCGGUUCACUUUAACACUGAGGCGUGACGACGAGGCACUACGGUGCUGAAGCAACAAAUGCCCUGCUUCCAGGAAAAGCCUCUAAGCAUCAGGUAACAUCAAAUCGUACCCCAAACCGACACAGGUGGUCAGGUAGAGAAUACCAAGGCGCUUGAGAGAACUCGGGUGAAGGAACUAGGCAAAAUGGUGCCGUAACUUCGGGAGAAGGCACGCUGACACGUAGGUGAAGUGAUUUACUCACGGAGCUGAAGUCAGCCGAAGAUACCAGCUGGCUGCAACUGUUUAUUAAAAACACAGCACUGUGCAAACACGAAAGUGGACGUAUACGGUGUGACGCCUGCCCGGUGCCGGAAGGUUAAUUGAUGGGGUCAGCGCAAGCGAAGCUCCUGAUCGAAGCCCCGGUAAACGGCGGCCGUAACUAUAACGGUCCUAAGGUAGCGAAAUUCCUUGUCGGGUAAGUUCCGACCUGCACGAAUGGCGUAAUGAUGGCCAGGCUGUCUCCACCCGAGACUCAGUGAAAUUGAACUCGCUGUGAAGAUGCAGUGUACCCGCGGCAAGACGGAAAGACCCCGUGAACCUUUACUAUAGCUUGACACUGAACAUUGAGCCUUGAUGUGUAGGAUAGGUGGGAGGCUUUGAAGUGUGGACGCCAGUCUGCAUGGAGCCGACCUUGAAAUACCACCCUUUAAUGUUUGAUGUUCUAACGUGGACCCGUGAUCCGGGUUGCGGACAGUGUCUGGUGGGUAGUUUGACUGGGGCGGUCUCCUCCUAAAGAGUAACGGAGGAGCACGAAGGUUGGCUAAUCCUGGUCGGACAUCAGGAGGUUAGUGCAAUGGCAUAAGCCAGCUUGACUGCGAGCGUGACGGCGCGAGCAGGUGCGAAAGCAGGUCAUAGUGAUCCGGUGGUUCUGAAUGGAAGGGCCAUCGCUCAACGGAUAAAAGGUACUCCGGGGAUAACAGGCUGAUACCGCCCAAGAGUUCAUAUCGACGGCGGUGUUUGGCACCUCGAUGUCGGCUCAUCACAUCCUGGGGCUGAAGUAGGUCCCAAGGGUAUGGCUGUUCGCCAUUUAAAGUGGUACGCGAGCUGGGUUUAGAACGUCGUGAGACAGUUCGGUCCCUAUCUGCCGUGGGCGCUGGAGAACUGAGGGGGGCUGCUCCUAGUACGAGAGGACCGGAGUGGACGCAUCACUGGUGUUCGGGUUGUCAUGCCAAUGGCACUGCCCGGUAGCUAAAUGCGGAAGAGAUAAGUGCUGAAAGCAUCUAAGCACGAAACUUGCCCCGAGAUGAGUUCUCCCUGAGACUUUAGGUCUCCUGAAGGAACGUUGAAGACGACGACGUUGAUAGGCCGGGUGUGUAAGCGCAGCGAUGCGUUGAGCUAAC